GAGUUUGAUCGUGGCUCAGAACGAACGCUGGCGGCAGGCUUAACACAUGCAAGUCGAACGCGCCCUUUCGGGGGUGAGUGGCAGACGGGUGAGUAACGCGUGGGAAUUUACCUCAAACUAUGGGAUAACACAGAGAAAUUUGUGCUAAUACCAUAUGUGUCCAUCAAGGGGGACUUUGGUGGGGAAAGAUUUAUCGGUUUGAGAUAAGCCCGCGUUGGAUUAGCUAGUUGGUAGGGUAAAGGCCUACCAAGGCGACGAUCCAUAGCUGGUCUGAGAGGAUGAUCAGCCACACUGGGACUGAGACACGGCCCAGACUCCUACGGGAGGCAGCAGUGGGGAAUAUUGGACAAUGGGCGCAAGCCUGAUCCAGCCAUGCCGCGUGAGUGAUGAAGGCCUUAGGGUUGUAAAGCUCUUUCACCGGAGAAGAUAAUGACGGUAUCCGGAGAAGAAGCCCCGGCUAACUUCGUGCCAGCAGCCGCGGUAAUACGAAGGGGGCUAGCGUUGUUCGGAUUUACUGGGCGUAAAGCGCGCGUAGGCGGAUAUUUAAGUCAGGGGUGAAAUCCCGGGGCUCAACCCCGGAACUGCCUUUGAUACUGGGUAUCUUGAGUAUGGAAGAGGUGAGUGGAAUUCCGAGUGUAGAGGUGAAAUUCGUAGAUAUUCGGAGGAACACCAGUGGCGAAGGCGGCUCACUGGUCCAUUACUGACGCUGAGGUGCGAAAGCGUGGGGAGCGAACAGGAUUAGAUACCCUGGUAGUCCACGCUGUAAACGAUGAAUGUUAGCCGUUGGCAGGUAUACCUGUCGGUGGCGCAGCUAACGCAUUAAACAUUCCGCCUGGGGAGUACGGUCGCAAGAUUAAAACUCAAAGGAAUUGACGGGGGCCCGCACAAGCGGUGGAGCAUGUGGUUUAAUUCGACGCAACGCGCAGAACCUUACCAGCUCUUGACAUCCCGGU
Molecule: ribosomal RNA, 953 nt
Filed under: uncultured Hyphomicrobiales bacterium
Lineage: Bacteria; Pseudomonadati; Pseudomonadota; Alphaproteobacteria; Hyphomicrobiales
Description: bacterial SSU rRNA
Rfam family: Bacterial small subunit ribosomal RNA
Source: RNAcentral